This 335-nucleotide unclassified non-coding RNA is filed under the name Hevea brasiliensis (rubber tree). The record is from RNAcentral. Lineage: Eukaryota; Viridiplantae; Streptophyta; Magnoliopsida; Malpighiales; Euphorbiaceae.
AAAGGGAUGUGUGGUCCGCUGAGCUAUUAAAGGACUUGAACUUCCUGCUAUUUGUUUCAUGCUUUUGCUCAUGUCGAUUUCUUUCUCAUGGCAUGCUGUUUCAUGUUUUCCAAAUUCUGGUGUCAUGUUCAACCAGGAAUUACUGGCAGAUCUUAUUGGUAUCUCUUGGACCUGAAUAUGCGGAUUAAUUGGAUAGCCAUGUAAAUAUGUCUCUGCAUCAAGAUUUUCAUUAUGCCGCCCCAUAUCUGCUACAGUUUCUAUCUUCUGAUUCCCAAAGACGGGCAACUUUUCUGAAAUCCCAUUCCUCAUAAAGUGACUCUGAUAUUCCUGGAAUG